Molecule: unclassified non-coding RNA, 256 nt
Filed under: Hevea brasiliensis (rubber tree)
Lineage: Eukaryota; Viridiplantae; Streptophyta; Magnoliopsida; Malpighiales; Euphorbiaceae
Source: RNAcentral
GGGAUACUAAGGUUUUCCUGAAAGGCAUCGUAGAAGACAAUCUUGGGAUCUUUUGCGGUAAUUAAAAACUAUAUCUUGGCUUCUUUGGUGUGUCUUAGGUGAUUUUAAUGAUAUUCUUGCUCUUCAUGAGAAGCAAGGAAAUAUUGCCCAUCCAAAUUGGUUGAUAGUAGGCUUUAGAAGUGCUAUUCAUGAUUGUAGUCUUUGUGAUUUAGGUAUGGUUGGGUAUGCUUUUACAUGGGAACGGAGUAGGGGCCAG